Molecule: ribosomal RNA, 460 nt
Filed under: uncultured bacterium
Lineage: Bacteria
Description: partial 16S ribosomal RNA
Rfam family: Bacterial small subunit ribosomal RNA
Source: RNAcentral
CCUACGGGUGGCAGCAGUGAGGAAUAUUGGUCAAUGGGCGGGAGUCUGAACCAGCCAAGUAGCGUGAAGGAUGACUGCCCUAUGGGUUGUAAACUUCUUUUGUACAGGAAUAACACGCGGCACGUGUGCCUUUUUGCAUGUACUUUGUGAAUAAGGAUCGGCUAACUCCGUGCCAGCAGCCGCGGUAAUACGGAGGGUCCGAGCGUUAUCCGGAUUUAUUGGGUUUAAAGGGAGCGUAGAUGGGUGGUUAAGUCAGGUGUGAAAGUGUGCGGCUCAACCGUAAAAUUGCAAUUGCUACUGGCAGUCAUGAGUACAGAUGAGGCAGGCGGAAUUCGUGGUGUAGCGGUGAAAUGCUUAGAUAUCACGAAGAACCCCGAUUGCGAAGGCAGCCUACCAAACUGUGACUGACAUUGAUGCUCGAAAGUGUGGGUAUCAAACAGGAUUAGAUACCCCUGUAGUC